Molecule: ribosomal RNA, 595 nt
Filed under: Vibrio cyclitrophicus ZF28
Lineage: Bacteria; Pseudomonadati; Pseudomonadota; Gammaproteobacteria; Vibrionales; Vibrionaceae
Description: bacterial LSU rRNA
Rfam family: Bacterial large subunit ribosomal RNA
Source: RNAcentral
AUCAGUGAAAACGAGUAGGGCGGGACACGUGAUAUCCUGUCUGAAUAUGGGGGGACCAUCCUCCAAGGCUAAAUACUACUGACUGACCGAUAGUGAACCAGUACCGUGAGGGAAAGGCGAAAAGAACCCCUGUGAGGGGAGUGAAAUAGAACCUGAAACCGUGUACGUACAAGCAGUAGGAGCACCUUCGUGGUGUGACUGCGUACCUUUUGUAUAAUGGGUCAGCGACUUAAUUUUAGUAGCAAGGUUAACCGUUUAGGGGAGCCGUAGGGAAACCGAGUCUUAACUGGGCGUACAGUUGCUAGGAUUAGACCCGAAACCAGGUGAUCUAGCCAUGGGCAGGUUGAAGGUUGAGUAACAUCAACUGGAGGACCGAACCGACUAAUGUUGAAAAAUUAGCGGAUGACUUGUGGCUAGGGGUGAAAGGCCAAUCAAACCUGGAGAUAGCUGGUUCUCCCCGAAAGCUAUUUAGGUAGCGCCUCGGACGAAUACUACUGGGGGUAGAGCACUGUUAAGGCUAGGGGGUCAUCCCGACUUACCAACCCUUUGCAAACUCCGAAUACCAGUAAGUACUAUCCGGGAGACACACGGCGGG